UACGUAGGGGGCAAGCGUUGUCCGGAUUUAUUGGGCGGAAAGAGCUCGUAGGUGGUUCGGUAAGUCGGAUGUGAAAUCUCCAGGCUCAACCUGGAGGGGUCAUUCGAUACUGCCGUGACUAGAGGUCGGUAGGGGAGUGUGGAAUUCCUGGUGGAGCGGUGAAAUGCGCAGAUAUCAGGAGGAACACCCGUAGCGAAGGCGGCACUCUGGGCCGAUACUGACACUGAGGAGCGAAAGCGUGGGGAGCGAACAGG
RNAcentral lists this ribosomal RNA (254 nucleotides) under uncultured bacterium. RNAcentral's name for it is "partial 16S ribosomal RNA". It matches the Rfam family "Bacterial small subunit ribosomal RNA", at positions 524 to 776 of the family's 1533-position model. The record is from RNAcentral.